This is a long non-coding RNA of Prionailurus viverrinus (fishing cat), 999 nucleotides long. RefSeq lists it as uncharacterized. NCBI's taxonomy places the organism in Eukaryota, Metazoa, Chordata, Mammalia, Carnivora, Felidae. The transcript has 3 exons. The record is from RefSeq and is a predicted model, not a curated record.
UGUCUCCUAACUCAGGGUUCUAUGUUCCUAGGCUCAUCUACUUAUUAAUGCACCCCUUCCUUGCCAAGAAGGUCACAGAGCAGAUUUGCUCCCCCAUCUGCCCAACUUGCUGCAUUUUUAGGCACAUCCACGAAGCCUGAAUUGUGCAGGACAGAAGAUCCCUAGGAAGCACUUAGGAGACCCUGAUGGAAAUGACUUCAAUGAGGACGGGGUGCAAUGGGAAAGGCAAGCCUUUUAUCUUGCCAUGACUCUGAUGGUCAGAGAAAGUCCAUGGAGGUGAAAUGCUGGUAUGAGGGGGCCGACCGCAGAGGCCACACCAACACUUUCCUGGUCAAAAUGCAGCAAUUUGGAAGGAGUCCUCUUGGGUUAGUGCCACAAGACAAUUAAGGAUCUGACCUGCAACCCUUGAGCUGACCAGGUUGUUUCUAAUUUCAGUGUCUGCCCCUGGGAAAGUGGCCUCACCUCUCCGAGACUCAGGUCCUCCAGCUCUGCCAUUCUCGGUCAUCACAGCAAACUGUGGCAUCUUCAGGGCAUGCCAAAGCAUUCUGGAGCCCCAGCUGAGCACAGCAGUUUCCUUCUUUAUUUAGGCAUGCGAGGUUCCGCUGGGGCAGGCUGGCCCCAGCUGUGCUCCUUGGCACAUAAAAUCCCGCCUCCUAUCAAAGCCAAAAUCUAGAGAGCCAUGGGCACUGGUGACCAGGGCAACAGCUACCUCCUCCCUGUUCUACCAAAUGCUGUCCCCUGGGGCCUCGGGAGACAAAUAACCAGUUCACAUCUCAGCAGCUGCCCUGGCUAUAAGUCUACGCGAUUUACCUUGGCUCUCAUUGGCACUGAGAAUGAGGUCAUGGAAGGAAGGAGACAAUGGAGAAGACCUCUGCAAGGGCAGCAGUAAAACACGCUGUCAGGAGGCAGGAGAGGACCCUUGAGUCAUGGGGUCCUCGGCAGCUGUCUUUGAGAGUUAAAUAAUUUCAAGAAGUCCUUGACUGGAAGAUAAAACAUGUG